AGUGAACGCUGGCGGUGGGCCUAACACAUGCAAGUCGAACGGCAGCACAGUAAGAGCUUGCUCUUACGGGUGGCGAGUGGCGGACGGGUGAGGAAUACAUCGGAAUCUACUUUUUCGUGGGGGAUAACGUAGGGGAACUUACGCUAAUACCGCAUACGACCUACGGGUGAAAGCAGGGGAUCUUCGGACCUUGCGCGAUUGAAUGAGCCGAUGUCGGAUUAGCUAGUUGGCGGGGUAAAGGCCCACCAAGGCGACGAUCCGUAGCUGGUCUGAGAGGAUGAUCAGCCACACUGGAACUGAGACACGGUCCAGACUCCUACGGGAGGCAGCAGUGGGGAAUAUUGGACAAUGGGCGCAAGCCUGAUCCAGCCAUACCGCGUGGGUGAAGAAGGCCUUCGGGUUGUAAAGCCCUUUUGUUGGGAAAGAAAAGCAGCAGGUUAAUACCCCGCUGUUCUGACGGUACCCAAAGAAUAAGCACCGGCUAACUUCGUG
This 492-nucleotide ribosomal RNA is filed under the name uncultured bacterium. RNAcentral's name for it is "partial 16S ribosomal RNA". It matches the Rfam family "Bacterial small subunit ribosomal RNA", at positions 29 to 507 of the family's 1533-position model. The record is from RNAcentral.